AUAAACCCGAUGCAGGGGUAAAGUAACCAGUGGUGGUCCUGACAGAGAGCCGGUGUUUGGUGUGAACCGGCAGGGCGGCUGGCGAAAGAGCUCCCCGGAGGGGGCCGGCUGAAAGCAGCAGUAGGCAGGCACGGGCAGUCCCGUUAUCACGUUCAAGCGGGCAGGCGCAUGGGUUAACAACGCGCCUGUCAAAAAAGGGUGGCACCGCGGGAGUAAACCUCUCGUCCCUGCU
This 232-nucleotide non-coding RNA is filed under the name Desulfotomaculum sp. RNAcentral describes it as "T-box sequence". It matches the Rfam family "T-box leader". From Rfam's summary of the family: Uncharged tRNA acts as the effector for transcription antitermination of genes in the T-box leader family. T-boxes are found upstream of many aminoacyl-tRNA synthetase genes and some amino acid biosynthetic genes usually in Gram-positive bacteria. The anticodon of a specific tRNA base pairs to a specifier sequence within the T-box motif, and the NCCA acceptor tail of the tRNA base pairs to a conserved bulge in the T-box antiterminator hairpin. Lineage: Bacteria; Bacillati; Bacillota; Clostridia; Eubacteriales; Desulfotomaculaceae. The record is from RNAcentral.